This 253-nucleotide ribosomal RNA is filed under the name uncultured bacterium. Its description in RNAcentral is "partial 16S ribosomal RNA". It matches the Rfam family "Bacterial small subunit ribosomal RNA", at positions 524 to 776 of the family's 1533-position model. The record is from RNAcentral.
UACAGAGGGGGCAAGCGUUGUGCGGAAUUACUGGGCGUAAAGGGCGCGUAGGCGGCCUUCUAAGUCAGACGUGAAAUCCCUCGGCUCAACCGGGGAACUGCGUCUGAGACUGAAAGGCUUGAAUCCGGGAGAGGAAUGCGGAAUUCCAGGUGUAGCGGUGAAAUGCGUAGAUAUCUGGAGGAACACCGGUGGCGAAGGCGGCAUUCUGGACCGGCAUUGACGCUGAGGCGCGAAAGCCAGGGGAGCAAACGGG